RNAcentral lists this long non-coding RNA (221 nucleotides) under Mytilus galloprovincialis (Mediterranean mussel). Lineage: Eukaryota; Metazoa; Mollusca; Bivalvia; Mytilida; Mytilidae. The record is from RNAcentral.
GGUAACAAACUAAAACUGAGGGAAACGCAUUAGAUAUAAGAGGAGAACAACGACACAACACUACAAUGUUACACACACAGAAACGGACCAAGCAUCAGACAAAAUACCACGAGAAUAACAAAUACAACAUCAAAACCAAAUACAUGAAUUUGGGAUAGACAAGUACCGUGACACGUCUUAUCGCAAUGUGAAUUUACACUAAAAAAUAAGAGAAAACAAAC